AGAGACGGCCAUUCCUCUAGGGAGAAGAGUUGAAUGAAGCCUGCAGAGAGGCCUCCUGGGAACAGUGCAUGGAGUCUCUCCACCCAGUCAUUCACUUCCUCCUCUACGUGCUCGCCUACUCCUGCGUCUACUCCUGUCUGUAUUUGUUGGUUUAUUUUAUUAGCAUCUUUACUGAGGAUUAGGCAGCCCGCUGGACACAAGCCUCUUUGGGUACAGAAAACCCUACCCACUGCCCAUGGUGAGAUCUAAGACCCAACUAACAUUGGCCAAAGAAGGACAAGGGUGGGAGGGGUUCCAGCCAUCACCAGGCUUAUGAAGGGACAAAGGCUGGCCUGGCAGACACAUAAAUACGGUUACUAACUCAGAGACUGGGAAAGCCCCGAGGCUACUGUUCACCUUCUAGACCUGCAGCCAUGGAGAAAGGCGGCUUUCUUUCCGCAGCAUAUGGGCUGCCCCUAGAGAAAUGGCCAAUUUCUUUCAAAUGCUGUAAACUGGAAAAAUCUAAAAUGCUCAUCAGAUAAACCAAUUUAAAAAAACU
Molecule: long non-coding RNA, 538 nt
Filed under: Mus caroli (Ryukyu mouse)
Lineage: Eukaryota; Metazoa; Chordata; Mammalia; Rodentia; Muridae
Description: lncRNA (MGP_CAROLIEiJ_G0005898.1)
Source: RNAcentral